This 402-nucleotide ribosomal RNA is filed under the name uncultured bacterium. Its description in RNAcentral is "bacterial SSU rRNA". It matches the Rfam family "Bacterial small subunit ribosomal RNA", at positions 28 to 420 of the family's 1533-position model. The record is from RNAcentral.
GAUGAACGCUAGCUACAGGCUUAACACAUGCAAGUCGAGGGGCAGCAUGAACAAAGCUUGCUUUGUUUGAUGGCGACCGGCGCACGGGUGAGUAACACGUAUCCAACCUGCCCAUAACUCAGGGAUAGCCUUUCGAAAGGGAGAUUAAUACCUGAUGGUGUUGAAAUUCCGCAUGUUAUUUCAACUAAAGAUUUAUCGGUAACGGAUGGGGAUGCGUGACAUUAGAUAGUAGGCGGGGUAACGGCCCACCUAGUCUACGAUGUCUAGGGGUUCUGAGAGGAAGGUCCCCCACACUGGAACUGAGACACGGUCCAGACUCCUACGGGAGGCAGCAGUGAGGAAUAUUGGUCAAUGGUCGGAAGACUGAACCAGCCAAGUAGCGUGAAGGGAUGAAGGUUCUAU